Molecule: non-coding RNA, 636 nt
Organism: Pelobates cultripes (western spadefoot toad)
Lineage: Eukaryota; Metazoa; Chordata; Amphibia; Anura; Pelobatidae
Source: the annotation of a GenBank genome assembly
GUCAAUACUUUGUAGAGCCACCUUUUGCGGCAAUCACAGCUCCAAGUCGCUUUGGAUAAGUCUCUAUGAGCUUGCCACAUCUUACCACUGGGAUUUUUGCCCAUUCCUCCUUGCAAAACUGCUCCAGCUCCUUCAAGUUGGAUGGUUUGCGCUUGUGAACAGCAAUCUUUAAGUCUGACCACAUAUUUUCUAUUGGAUUGAGGUCUGGGCUUUGACUAGGCCAUUCCAACACAUUUACAUGUUUCCCCUUAAACCACUCAAGUGUUGCUUUAGCAGUGUGUUUGGGGUCAUUGUCCUGCUGGAAGGUGAACCUCCGUCCUAGCCUCAAAUCAUGCACAGAGUGGUACAGGUUUUGCUCAAGAAUAUCCCUGUAUUUAGCACCAUCCAUCUUUCCCUCAACUCUGACCAGUUUCCCAGUCCCGGCUGCUGAAAAACAUCCCCACAGCAUGAUGCUGCCACCACCAUGUUUCACUGUGGGGAUGGUGUUCUUUGGGUGAUGUGAUGUGUUGAGUUUGCGCCAGACAUAGCGUUUUCUUUGAUGGCCGAAAAGUUCAAUUUUAGUCUCAUCAGACCAGAGCACCUUCCUCCAUACAUUUUGGGAGUCUCCCACAUGCCUUUUCGCAAACUCAAAAUGUG